RNAcentral lists this long non-coding RNA (1573 nucleotides) under Mytilus galloprovincialis (Mediterranean mussel). The record is from RNAcentral. Lineage: Eukaryota; Metazoa; Mollusca; Bivalvia; Mytilida; Mytilidae.
UUUAUAGGUUAGCAGUAUCAGGUAGCCAUAACUGUAUAGCUAUACCUCAUGAUAACAGACAUAUAAGGUUGUAUGAUAUCCAUGGUAACAGAAUUGGGAGGUUGCCAAGAAGUAAUAGACAGGUUUGUUGAGAUUGCUAUUGUGUUACUGUACAUGUGGGUUCAUUAAUUUUUGUGGGUACCAUAUUUUGUGGAUUGAGGAAAACAUAUUUGUUUGUUGAUAUUUAAUUGCCUAGGUUUGAUGAAGUCUUCAUACAAGCCUAUAGAAAAUUUGCUAUACUUUGAACAUUUUAAAAUUUGAUGGUUCAUUUGUACCUACGAAAUCCACAAAAAUUGGUAUUCAAUGUAUAAUGAUGUAUUCACUGUCUUACUGAUUUUGAUCAAUACCUUAGGAAUUCAGUUUGACUUGUGUAUUAUAAUUACAUACAUUAAAAUUUACAUUUGCUACAUUAAAACCACGGGUUGACUAUACUGUGAAUACAAAUUUAAAUAUAUUGAAAACACUGAACCAAAAUGAGAUGUGAUAAGUGUUGACUUUACUUAUAAAGUAUAUCGAAAGCUGCCGGCAUACAUUUUAUUUCAUGUGCAAGUUCUUUAAUUAGAAUCUUUUACAUUACAGAAAUUAGUAAUAUUCCUGGAAACACACAUUCACACUUGAAUAUUUUAAAAUGGUUAACAUUUACUGUUGUAACUAUUUUAAAAGUUGUUCAUUUAUUGAAUUUGGAAGUUGAAACUGUAGAUUACAACAGAGUGAUUGAUUUUUACAGUUUUAACUUUACUCAAAGGUUCAGGAAAGAGAUGGUUGAUAUGGAAUAAAAAACAAUUUUUAAUGAAGCUUAAUCUCGCUUUAUUUUUUUUCAGGGUCAUAGUAAGAUGGUGACAUCAGUAUGCUAGUCUGAGACAGAAAACACAGUGUGCAAUCUCUUCUCAUGUGGUUUUGAUAGACAAGUACUGGGAUGGACUAUUAAUUUUCAAAGUAAAGAAUAAAAAACUUUGAAAUAGAGAGAAUACAUAUGUGUGAUUAGUGCAAUACUUUAAGUGUAUAUGUUAUCUGUCAACAGAUAUCUGACUUUAUGCUUACAUUUAUUGAGAUUAGAUUUGUUUAAUUUCUUCUGUGUGUAUUUGUUUUUGUUUACAACCACCAGGAGUAUAGAAAUAUGGAUAAUAAUGUGUUUUUGCCAGUCAGCUAGUUAAACCGGUGCUAAGGGGUUGUCAAAUUUCUGUGCCAGAUGAAAUUCAUGUUGGAAAGUGCUCAAAUAAAUAUUGCACAAGUCCUGAAAGGUUUUUAAAAUGCAAGUUUUGGGUUUUGGGAAACCUAUAUAGUCUCAAUUUGUCAUAUAAAAUGAACAUUGUAGAAAAUUAUGAAAAAAUAUUAUAAAUACAAUACAUAUACAACAUUGACUUUUCACAUGUGUUUUUAGUAUAUAUGUCAUUAUCCCUCAGGGAUGCUUCUGUGAAUCUUAUUUAUAGCUGACAGAAUAUAGUUCAGGCUGAAUAGUUAGAUGUAUUUGUUGUAAAUUGGUAAGAAAGAGAUCUUUUAAUUGAGCUGAGCUUUAAUAUGUGAUAUCCAAGGC